Molecule: ribosomal RNA, 253 nt
Filed under: uncultured bacterium
Lineage: Bacteria
Description: partial 16S ribosomal RNA
Rfam family: Bacterial small subunit ribosomal RNA
Source: RNAcentral
UACGAGGGGCCCAAGCGUUAUUCGGAUUUACUGGGCUUAAAGAGUUCGUAGGCGGUUCGGUAAGUGAGGUGUGAAAGCCCUCGGCUCAACCGAGGAAUUGCGCUUCAAACUGCCGGGCUCGAGGGAGAUAGAGGUGAGCGGAACUGAUGGUGGAGCGGUGAAAUGCGUUGAUAUCAUCAGGAACACCAGAGGCGAAGGCGGCUCACUGGGUCUUUUCUGACGCUGAGGAACGAAAGCUAGGGGAGCAAACGGG